GAUGAAGAACGUAGCAAAUUGCGAUAUGUAAUGUGAAUUGCAGAUUUUCAGUGAAUCAUCGAAUCUUUGAACGCACAUUGCGCCCCCUGGCAUUCCGGGGGGCAUGCCUGUCCGAGCGUCAUUUCUGCCCUCAAGCACGGCUUGUGUGUUGGGUGUGGUCCCCCCGGGGACCUGCCCGAAAGGCAGCGGCGACGUCUGUCUGGUCCUCGAGCGUAUGGGGCUCUGUCACUCGCUCGGGAAGGACCUGCGGGGGUUGGUCACCACUAUAUUUUACCACGGUUGACCUCGGAUCAGGUAGGAGUUACCCGCUGAACUUAAGCAUAUCAAUAAGCGGAGGA
This 338-nucleotide unclassified non-coding RNA is filed under the name soil metagenome. Its description in RNAcentral is "partial contains 5.8S ribosomal RNA, internal transcribed spacer 2, and large subunit ribosomal RNA". The stretch from base 1 to 121 matches the Rfam family "5.8S ribosomal RNA", at positions 35 to 154 of the family's 154-position model. The record is from RNAcentral.